This 353-nucleotide ribosomal RNA is filed under the name uncultured bacterium. RNAcentral's name for it is "bacterial SSU rRNA". It matches the Rfam family "Bacterial small subunit ribosomal RNA", at positions 917 to 1271 of the family's 1533-position model. The record is from RNAcentral.
GGGCCCGCACAAGCAGUGGAGCAUGUGGUUUAAUUCGAUGCAACGCGAAGAACCUUACCCAGACUUGACAUACAGUAGACCGCUUAAGAAAUUAAGCUUCCAGCAAUGGCUGCUGUACAGGUGCUGCAUGGCUGUCGUCAGCUCGUGCCGUGAGGUGUUGGGUUAAGUCCCGCAACGAGCGCAACCCUUAUCAUUAGUUGCCAACGCGUAAUGGCGGGGACUCUAGUGAGACUGCCUGGGUUAACCAGGAGGAAGGUGAGGAUGACGUCAAGUCAGCAUGGCCUUUAUGUCUGGGCUACACACGUGCUACAAUGGUCGGUACAGAAGGCAGCAAGACCGCAAGGUGGAGCAAA